ACCCGCUGAACUUAAGCAUAUCAAUAAGCGGAGGAAAAGAAACCAACAGGGAUUGCCUUAGUAACGGCGAGUGAAGCGGCAACAGCUCAAAUUUGAAAUCUGGCCUCUUUGGGGUCCGAGUUGUAAUUUGCAGAGGGCGCUUUGGCGUUGGCAGCGGUCCAAGUUCCUUGGAACAGGACGUCACAGAGGGUGAGAAUCCCGUACGUGGUCGCUAGCCUUCGCCGUGUAAAGCCCCUUCGACGAGUCGAGUUGUUUGGGAAUGCAGCUCUAAAUGGGAGGUAAAUUUCUUCUAAAGCUAAAUACUGGCCAGAGACCGAUAGCGCACAAGUAGAGUGAUCGAAAGAUGAAAAGCACUUUGGAAAGAGAGUCAAACAGCACGUGAAAUUGUCGAAAGGGAAGCGCUUGCAGCCAGACUUGCCUGUAGUUGCUCAUCCGGGCUUUUGCCCGGUGCACUCUUCUGCGGGCAGGCCAGCAUCAGUUUGGGCGGUUGGAUAAAGGUCUCUGUCAUGUACCUCUCUUCGGGGAGGCCUUAUAGGGGAGACGACAUGCAACCAGCCCAGACUGAGGUCCGCGCAUUUGCUAGGAUGCUGGCGUAAUGGCUGU
Molecule: ribosomal RNA, 603 nt
Filed under: uncultured fungus
Lineage: Eukaryota; Fungi
Description: eukaryotic LSU rRNA
Rfam family: Eukaryotic large subunit ribosomal RNA
Source: RNAcentral